Molecule: long non-coding RNA, 746 nt
Filed under: Zostera marina
Lineage: Eukaryota; Viridiplantae; Streptophyta; Magnoliopsida; Alismatales; Zosteraceae
Description: long non-coding RNA (ZMAR_LNC004395)
Source: RNAcentral
CGUGCGUGAUACUCUCCCGUUUCUUUUUCCCAGGGAUAUCUGUAGAUCGAUGGCUCCUACUACUGGGGCCUUUGUGUUUGUAAACCCAUAGAUGGCUUCCUUGGCCGGGGUUAGCUGAUCUACUUUGUAGCCCAUUUUUUCGAACGCAGCUAGGUAUAAUAUAUCUACCGAGCUGCCGUUGUCUACCAUAACUUUGUUCAGACUUGAGUCAUCCCCUAUAUCCACUUGUAUCCCUAGUGGAUCUUCAUGUGGGCUGACCACGUUGUCCAGAUCUUCCUCAGAGAAGCUUAUUUCCUCGCUUGGGUACGAUUUUUUCUUAGAUUUUGGUACCGUUGUAGUUUGCAUCACUUUGCGCGAGUAAUUUCUGCUUUCUCCUACUGAUCCUCCACCGAAGAUUAAAUUUAUCACCCUUCUUUUGUGGUCAGUGUCUGACUCGGGACUCCUUGAGCGUUGGUGCUUACCCUUGUUUUUUGGGUCCUUGCAGCCUUGUCGCCCCCUUUCUAUUUUGUUUAUGUAUUGUUUCAGCUUUCCUUCCUUCACUUGUGUGUCUAGGAAGGUAUCUAGCUCCCUGGGAUUUUUUAAAAGGUCUAUCCCACUUCUUGGGAUUUUUUUUUUUAAAAUUCUAUCCUAAUGUUGGGAAAAAAGUCUAUCCCAAUCCUUCGGAUUUUUUUAAAAAAAAAGUCUAUCCCAACUCUUGGGAUUUUUUUAAAAAGUCUAUCCCACUUCUUGGGAUUUUUUUUUUUUUU